RNAcentral lists this ribosomal RNA (338 nucleotides) under Aedes albolateralis. RNAcentral's name for it is "eukaryotic LSU rRNA". It matches the Rfam family "Eukaryotic large subunit ribosomal RNA", at positions 677 to 965 of the family's 3401-position model. Lineage: Eukaryota; Metazoa; Arthropoda; Insecta; Diptera; Culicidae. The record is from RNAcentral.
GUCUCGCGCGAGCAAUGGUCGUCCUCCGGAACACCAAAGGCGCAAAAAACAUAACUUGAGUUGUGCGGGAUUACGGGCGCGGCUCUCUGCAGCGUCCCUCCAUCCCCGGGUGUUGUAACCGGCAUGCGGUGGGGUGCCCUCGGGCCCUCACCGUGCCACAACAUACCGUGAGUGUGCAGGAUGUGACCCGAAAGAUGGUGAACUAUGCCUGAUCAGGUUGAAGUCAGGGGAAACCCUGAUGGAGGACCGAAGCAGUUCUGACGUGCAAAUCGAUUGUCAGAAUUGGGCAUAGGGGCGAAAGACCAAUCGAACCAUCUAGUAGCUGGUUUCCUUCCGAA